RNAcentral lists this ribosomal RNA (553 nucleotides) under uncultured bacterium. RNAcentral describes it as "partial 16S ribosomal RNA". It matches the Rfam family "Bacterial small subunit ribosomal RNA", at positions 355 to 900 of the family's 1533-position model. The record is from RNAcentral.
UAGGGAAUCUUCCACAAUGGACGCAAGUCUGAUGGAGCAACGCCGCGUGAGUGAAGAAGGUUUUCGGACCGUAAAGCUCUGUUGUUGGUGAAGAAGGAUAGAGGUAGUAACUGGCCUUUAUUUGACGGUAAUCAACCAGAAAGUCACGGCUAACUACGUGCCAGCAGCCGCGGUAAUACGUAGGUGGCAAGCGUUGUCCGGAUUUAUUGGGCGUAAAGCGAGCGCAGGCGGAAGAAUAAGUCUGAUGUGAAAGCCCUCGGCUUAACCGAGGAAUUGCAUCGGAAACUGUUUUCUUGAGUGCAGAAGAGGAGAGUAGAACUCCAUGUGUAGCGGUGGAAUGCGUAGAUAUAUGGAAGAAUACCAGUGGCGAAGGCGGCUCUCUGGUCUGCAACUGACGCUGAGGCUCGAAAGCAUGGUAGCGAACAGGAUUAGAUACCCUGGUAGUCCAUGCCGUAAACGAUGAGUGCUAAGUGUUGGGAGGCUUCCGCCUCUCAGUGCUGCAGCUAACGCAUUAAGCACUCCGCCUGGGGGAGUACGACCGCAAGGUUGAAAC